GAUGAACGCUAGCUACAGGCUUAACACAUGCAAGUCGAGGGGCAGCAUGAAGUUUGCUUGCAAACUUUGAUGGCGACCGGCGCACGGGUGAGUAACGCGUAUCCAACCUUCCCUAUACUAGAGGAUAGCCCGGCGAAAGUCGGAUUAAUACUCUAUGUUAUUCAAUGCGGACAUCUAAGUUGAAUCAAAGAUUUAUCGGUAUAGGAUGGGGAUGCGUCUGAUUAGGUUGUUGGCGGGGUAACGGCCCACCAAGCCUACGAUCAGUAGGGGUUCUGAGAGGAAGGUCCCCCACAUUGGAACUGAGACACGGUCCAAACUCC
RNAcentral lists this ribosomal RNA (320 nucleotides) under uncultured Prevotella sp. Its description in RNAcentral is "bacterial SSU rRNA". It matches the Rfam family "Bacterial small subunit ribosomal RNA", at positions 28 to 339 of the family's 1533-position model. The record is from RNAcentral. Lineage: Bacteria; Pseudomonadati; Bacteroidota; Bacteroidia; Bacteroidales; Prevotellaceae.